Molecule: long non-coding RNA, 3758 nt
Organism: Drosophila virilis
Lineage: Eukaryota; Metazoa; Arthropoda; Insecta; Diptera; Drosophilidae
Source: RefSeq, a predicted model, not a curated record
UAGACCAAAGAAAUUAGAUGUUUUCAAUCACGCAGUCAAUCAAAAAGUGAAGUCAAAGUUGUCAAACCUAAUCAGAUGAGCCAAAAAUAGACCACACAUUUAGCGAAUUUCACAAUGAAAGCAAAAUUCUGAUUUACCGUUGCAUAGAACCCGUUCCAUUUUUUGUCAUAUAUAAUAUGAGUAAACAAAUUAAUGUUCAAAGCAAAACAGAAAGAAGGAAAAAAUGCCAUUGGAACAAAGAGAGAAGAAAAAAUAUUUUUCAAACCUGGUGCCGCUCAACUGACUAGGUUUGACUUCUUUUUAUACCCUGAACCCAUUAAAAAUGGGUAUAAGGGUAUAUUGAAUUUGUGCAAAAUCCAAAUGUCUUUACCGACGCGGGUGACGGAUAGCCCGGAGGCCUUUGCCAAGGAUGCGUCGAUAAGACUUACCGGACAGCACGGGACUAAAAGGGCACUUUCGCAGCACGUGGACUCUUCGGCAUACUCGGCAUCGGAACGAUUCAGUUGCCGGUCGGCUCUUGGAUCGGCCUUGUUGUUGGCGUGGAGAUAUUGUGCUGUUACGUGAAGAAAAUUGAAAAAAAAACAUAAUAGACAUUACUUAUGCGGCCUUAUACGGAUGGUCCGCAGACCUAUGGAUCUAGGAUUCUAGUCUUUACUGGAGAUUCUACUGGAUGGAGAAUGGAGACUAGAUUCUAUCGGGAGCAGGAUCAGCUUAGAGAUAGGUCUUUUGGAGAUACCUCGGGCUGUUAACACGUCGACCACUCGGACUCUUUGGUCGUUGCCAGGAUAGGUCGUUUGGAUUCGACCUAGACGCCAGUCAUUAACGGGAAGAUUAUCUUCUAUAAUAAUGACUAGAUUGUCCCGUUAACUGUUGUUGCAAAGCCUUCAAGCGCUGCCAGCGGUUGAUGAUGGUCCCGGCGUUUUCCUUGAUUUCUGGCUCUGUGGCGGAAAGUAGAGGACCGCCGACUAAAAAAUGACCGGGAGUCAGAGCUAAGAGAUCAGUAGGAUCUUCCAACAUUGGAGAUAUCGGUCUUGAAUUCAGGCAUGCUUCAACUUUGGAUAGGAGCGUGGAAAGCUCUUCGAAGGUGUAUUUGGAGGUCGAUUUUUGAAACUCUUUAACCUGCCUACCACAGGCCACCCAUAUGCGGUGCACUAGGAGAGUUGAAGUGCUAGGACAGUUUCUGGAGACUGUAAGUGGCCUGGAGUUUAGUCUACAAAAUCGCGCGAGAGGACUUUGGCCGCUCCGACGAAGGUUUUGCCGCUGUCGGAAUGCAUAUGACUUGGGCACCCUCGUCGUGCCACAAAUCUCGCAAAUGCCGCUAGGAAUUUUUCUGUGAUCUUAUUAAACGCAUCAUGAGCAAGUUGCCUCCAUGCAAGGAUAUUAGAUGGGUGAAAGCGGUCAAGAGACGCGAGACGCGGCACAUGUCGCUCUUACACGAUCACAUGCUCGAAUAAUUCCCUUACCAUCUAGAAAGGGGUUCAAAUUAAGGAGUUUGCUGGAAGUGAGCUGUUUUUUCGUGCUCUAGCAAGUGUACUCUGACGAGUAUGCUUGUCUCUGGGUCAGGAGAAUGAGUCUUUCUUGUGCAUAAGAAAUCUCGUUGCUGUGAAUUGCAAUAGUUGACGGGAGCGACAAUCGUUUGCAACGCUUGAAGAAACGAUAGAUGUAUGCUAACACUGGCAGGGCUCGAUCGAAAUUGGAGAAGCGCUCGAGGAAAGAAAAUGAGGGAGCCGUGUUUGCGAGGUUUACUUCACUCGUACGUUGCUCUAUUGUCGUAUCUGGGAGGGGAUCUGAAGGAAUGGGCUAUAGGUUCUGAGGUAGUCCAGGCGCAUGGUGGCUUAUGAAGCCAAGCUAGCACAAUUAUGGAAUCUGUCCAAUAGAGCCAGUCGCCGCCAGCGGAAGGUAACUGGGGACUGAGUGCAGCUGUUAGCUCGGACAGAAGUGCGGCUCCGCACAGCUCUAGUCGUGGCAAGGAUACCGUCUUGACCUGGGCGACACUCGUUUUCGCUGUUAGGAGAUGUACUGAGAUGCGAUCUUAUAUCUCAGUGCGCACGUAAAUGGCGGCCCCAUAUGCACGCUGCGAAGCGCCACAAAACCCGUGGUAUUGAAUAGUCCCCUGUGGGCGGAAUUCGACCCAUCUAGGGAUGCGAAUCCCACUGAGGCCCGGAUACUCUUGCAGAAAUAAAUUCCACUUACUGAGAAGACUCUCAGGUAGCGGAUCGUCCCAGUCCAGUUCUUGGAGCCAGAUCUCCCGCAUGAAUAAUUUUGCCUGACUGGACCCAGCCAACCUGCUGGAUCGAACAGUUUGGCAAUCUGUGAAAGGACUUGACGUUUGGAGACGGACUGUUUGGUUGUUAGCUCGGAUGGAGCGAAAAAGAACUCAUCGGUGUCAGCUUUCCAUCUGAUUCCGAGAGUCUUUGCCGAACAGGCUUCUUCGAUCUCUAAGAAGUCGGAGCGAAGCAAGUGGUCCUUGGGAAUCGCUUUUAGCAAGUCCUUCUCAUUGGAUGUCCAUUUUCGCAAGGGGAACCCGGCAGAUUCAAGGGCUUUGCGGAGUUCUGCAAUUGCUUGAUCUGCCGUUGAUUUGGAAUGGGCUCCCGCUAGUACAUCGUCGACAUACAUAUUGUUUGCGAUAAUGUGACUUGCUAAGGGAUAGAGCGAACGAACGUCAUCAGAUAACGGAUGUAGUACCCAGAUUGCCAAAAGGGCGCACAGUUAACUCCAAACGUGACUGUGCUGAGUUCGAAGUCACGAAGCUCGUUGUCCUUUGUUCGGAACAGAAUUCUCUGAUAGGGUGUGCGUUUGGGAUGCACAAGUAUCUGCCGAUACAUUUUCGUGAUAUCGGCAUUGAAGACAUAUCGGAAGAAGCGCCAUCUUAGAAUUUGAAUGGUUAAGUCGGAUUGCAGAACGGGCCCUGCAUCUAGCACAUCGUUCAGACUGGUGCUGUCAGGCUUGUGAACAGCAUGGUGUGGUAGAAAAAAGUUAUCCAAACAAUUGCUUUGAAGGACUUGUCGCAUGUGACCUAAGUCCAGAUAUUCCUGGAUCACCGCAUCGUACUGCUCCUUAAGGGGGGCAUUUUUUGCCAGCUAGUGCGAUGGACCUUGAAUGGCCUAACUGGAUGUAAUCGGAAUUCUUGAAUGAAUCCAAGUAUCUGCCGUUUUUAUCUCUUUUAGUGUUCUUUUGGAAAUUGCGCUCACAAAAUAGGUCAGAUUCCUUUUCCAGCUUUACUGGAAUAUCCUCCACCUCCCAAAAUUUUGUGAGCAGUUUAUCCAAGCUCGCAUUUGGAUUCAGUGAGACUUGAGUCGAAAAGGAUGCGAUCGAUUUGGCACUGGUCUUAGAAACGGGGCCUGUUUCGUCGUUUCUUGACCAAGGAGAGUGCCACAUAUGUUGGGAUAGGAGCCACCUACAAAUAUGGAUGGGAGGAUAUCGGCGCCGAGAAGCACGUCUAUCUGUGAGCUCCUAUAGAAAGAAGGAUCGGCCAAGUGUUAUUUUGGAAGUUCUUCCAAAGCGGUUUGGGGGAUGGUGUAGGAGGGCAAAUUGCCUGCUAGCUUUGAAAGAACAUAAGCCGACGUUUCAAUAUAAGCCCUGGGCGGAGAGCCAAUAUUAAAAUAGCUAAGUUUUUCAGGUUAAGCCGAAAUAGCUUGUUUGAAACCGGAGACCUGUGCGUCGACGGGUUGAUAAGGAAGUUUAACCCUUUUGAACAAUCGCUCUGCAAUAAAGGUCGCUUCAGACCCAUAGUCGAUUAAUGCCCGAGCUGUAUACUU